Molecule: ribosomal RNA, 253 nt
Filed under: uncultured bacterium
Lineage: Bacteria
Description: partial 16S ribosomal RNA
Rfam family: Bacterial small subunit ribosomal RNA
Source: RNAcentral
UACGUAGGGUGCGAGCGUUGUCCGGAAUUAUUGGGCGUAAAGAGCUCGUAGGCGGCUUGUCACGUCGGGUGUGAAAGCCCGGGGCUUAACCCCGGGUCUGCAUUCGAUACGGGCUAGCUAGAGUGUGGUAGGGGAGAUCGGAAUUCCUGGUGUAGCGGUGAAAUGCGCAGAUAUCAGGAGGAACACCGGUGGCGAAGGCGGAUCUCUGGGCCAUUACUGACGCUGGAGAGCGAAAGCGUGGGGAGCGAACAGG